GGAUCACCGGCUCAUCGCGACGGGUAUCGGGCUGGUAAAAAUAGACCGUCCUGCUCAGCGAUAAUGUCCUGUAUGCCUGGCGUACGCUCAUCGAAAACAUCUCUUUCACAUCCCUGACGAGCUCACGCUUUAUCGCUGGUUUU
This 143-nucleotide small RNA is filed under the name Rahnella aquatilis CIP 78.65 = ATCC 33071. RNAcentral describes it as "isrN Hfq binding RNA". It matches the Rfam family "isrN Hfq binding RNA". The record is from Rfam by way of RNAcentral. Lineage: Bacteria; Pseudomonadati; Pseudomonadota; Gammaproteobacteria; Enterobacterales; Yersiniaceae.